This 23-nucleotide non-coding RNA is filed under the name Arabidopsis thaliana (thale cress). The record is from RNAcentral. Lineage: Eukaryota; Viridiplantae; Streptophyta; Magnoliopsida; Brassicales; Brassicaceae.
AUCUCAAGAUGACGUGGCGUAUG